This 502-nucleotide ribosomal RNA is filed under the name uncultured bacterium. Its description in RNAcentral is "bacterial SSU rRNA". It matches the Rfam family "Bacterial small subunit ribosomal RNA", at positions 353 to 868 of the family's 1533-position model. The record is from RNAcentral.
AGUGGGGAAUAUUGGGCAAUGGGCGCAAGCCUGACCCAGCAACGCCGCGUGAGGGAAGAAGGCUUUCGGGUUGUAAACCUCUGUCCUUGGUGACGAAAAAAAUGACGGUAGCCAAGGAGGAAGCCCCGGCUAACUACGUGCCAGCAGCCGCGGUAAUACGUAGGGGGCGAGCGUUGUCCGGAAUUACUGGGCGUAAAGGGUGCGUAGGUGGCCUUUUAAGUUGGAUGUGAAAUCCCCGGGCUUAACUUGGGUGGUGCAUCUAAUACUGGAGGGCUAGAGUGCAGGAGAGGGAAGCGGAAUUCCUAGUGUAGCGGUGAAAUGCGUAGAUAUUAGGAGGAACACCAGUGGCGAAGGCGGCUUUCUGGACUGUAACUGACACUGAGGCACGAAAGCGUGGGGAGCAAACAGGAUUAGAUACCCUGGUAGUCCACGCGGUAAACGAUGAAUACUAGGUGUAGGGGGUAUCAACUCCCCCUGUGCCGGAGCUAACGCAAUAAGUAUU